GGUUUCGUGGUGUAGUGGUUAUCACGUCUGCUUUACACGCAGAAGGUCCUGAGUUCGAUCCUCAGCGAAAUCA
RNAcentral lists this transfer RNA (73 nucleotides) under Saccoglossus kowalevskii. RNAcentral describes it as "tRNA-Val". It matches the Rfam family "tRNA". Rfam says of the family: Transfer RNA (tRNA) molecules are approximately 80 nucleotides in length. Their secondary structure includes four short double-helical elements and three loops (D, anti-codon, and T loops). The record is from RNAcentral. Lineage: Eukaryota; Metazoa; Hemichordata; Enteropneusta; Harrimaniidae.